AGGCAGCAGUGGGGAAUAUUGGACAAUGGGCGAAAGCCUGAUCCAGCAAUGCCGCGUGAGUGAAGAAGGCCUUCGGGUUGUAAAGCUCUUUUACCCGGGAAGAUAAUGACUGUACCGGGAGAAUAAGCUCCGGCUAACUCCGUGCCAGCAGCCGCGGUAAUACGGAGGGAGCUAGCGUUGUUCGGAAUUACUGGGCGUAAAGCGUACGUAGGCGGCUUUGUAAGUCAGAGGUGAAAGCCCACGACUCAAUCGUGGAACUGCCUUUGAGACUGCUUCGCUUGAAGAUGGGAGAGGUUAGUGGAAUUCCGAGUGUAGAGGUGAAAUUCGUAGAUAUUCGGAAGAACACCAGUGGCGAAGGCGGCUAACUGGACCAUUCUUGACGCUGAGGUACGAAAGCGUGGGGAGCAGACAGGAUUAGAUACCCUGGUAG
Molecule: ribosomal RNA, 430 nt
Filed under: uncultured bacterium
Lineage: Bacteria
Description: bacterial SSU rRNA
Rfam family: Bacterial small subunit ribosomal RNA
Source: RNAcentral